This 605-nucleotide long non-coding RNA is filed under the name Bos taurus (domestic cattle). RNAcentral describes it as "long non-coding RNA NONBTAT024806". Lineage: Eukaryota; Metazoa; Chordata; Mammalia; Artiodactyla; Bovidae. The record is from RNAcentral.
GCAAAUCAGGGCAUCUUUGCUUUCGGAACAAAGCUUUUUUGUUACUGCACAUUUAUUUUCUCUGAGAACAUGUAUUUCCCAAAUUAGACUUGAACAUUCUAGUCAUGAAUAGUGCAGAUAGCAACAAAAAUGCUUAGAAUAUAAGAGGAAGCUAUUAUAUCUAAUACUUCUUUGCAGCUCCAGUGUCGCCUGCCUGUACUGGGGAAGUCCUUUUACCAGGACGUGGGAGGGAUGGUCAGGUGAGCGUGAGGUGGCAGUUCUCAGGCACAGGUGUGUGCUCAUCUGCAGCCUUUGCAGGCUGAAUAGGAUCUGAGCACACAGCAUCAGGCCAGGUAAAUUCAGGCACACCCGGAGCCCCAACUAGUGUAAGCAGCUGUCUAAGGCAGCUUCAGGGAACACUCAGGAGAACUUGUGAAGGGACUGUUGGCAUCUCUGACCUCCACUUAACUUUAGUGUAGGGUUUGAAGCAUAAAGCAUAUACAGGUCUAAGCCUUUUGACCUUGAGAAUGAAAAUCCUCAACCAAAAAUUUAUUUCUAGAAUGAAAACAAUAUAAUAAAACAAUUGCUAAAAAUUAUUAAAGAGAAGCAAGAGCAGAGAUGACAAA